Molecule: ribosomal RNA, 160 nt
Filed under: uncultured bacterium
Lineage: Bacteria
Description: partial 16S ribosomal RNA
Rfam family: Bacterial small subunit ribosomal RNA
Source: RNAcentral
UACGGGAGGCAGCAGUGGGGAAUAUUGCACAAUGGGGGAAACCCUGAUGCAGCGACGCCGCGUGAAGGAAGAAGUAUCUCGGUAUGUAAACUUCUAUCAGCAGGGAAAAUAAUGACGGUACCGGACUAAAAAGCCCCGGCUAACUACGUGCCAGCAGCCG